GUAGGUGGCAAGCGUUGUCCGGAAUUAUUGGGCGUAAAGCGCGCGCAGGCGGUCCUUUAAGUCUGAUGUGAAAGCCCACGGCUCAACCGUGGAGGGUCAUUGGAAACUGGGGGACUUGAGUACAGAAGAGGAAAGCGGAAUUCCAAGUGUAGCGGUGAAAUGCGUAGAGAUUUGGAGGAACACCAGUGGCGAAGGCGGCUUUCUGGUCUGUAACUGACGCUGAGGCGCGAAAGCGUGGGGAGCAAACAGGAUUAGAUACCCUGGUAGUCCACGCCGUAAACGAUGAGUGCUAAGUGUUAGGGGGUUUCCCGCCCCCCUUAGUGCUGCCAGCUAACGCAUUAAGCACUCCGCCUGGGGAGCACGCCGCAAGGCUG
Molecule: ribosomal RNA, 374 nt
Filed under: uncultured organism
Description: partial 16S ribosomal RNA
Rfam family: Bacterial small subunit ribosomal RNA
Source: RNAcentral